UGGAUCCGUGAUCCGGGUUGCGGACAGUGUCUGGUGGGUAGUUUGACUGGGGCGGUCUCCUCCUAAAGAGUAACGGAGGAGCACGAAGGUUGGCUAAUCCUGGUCGGACAUCAGGAGGUUAGUGCAAUGGCAUAAGCCAGCUUGACUGCGAGCGUGACGGCGCGAGCAGGUGCGAAAGCAGGUCAUAGUGAUCCGGUGGUUCUGAAUGGAAGGGCCAUCGCUCAACGGAUAAAAGGUACUCCGGGGAUAACAGGCUGAUACCGCCCAAGAGUUCAUAUCGACGGCGGUGUUUGGCACCUCGAUGUCGGCUCAUCACAUCCUGGGGCUGAAGUAGGUCCCAAGGGUAUGGCUGUUCGCCAUUUAAAGUGGUACGCGAGCUGGGUUUAGAACGUCGUGAGACAGUUCGGUCCCUAUCUGCCGUGGGCGCUGGAGAACUGAGGGGGGCUGCUCCUAGUACGAGAGGACCGGAGUGGACGCAUCACUGGUGUUCGGGUUGUCAUGCCAAUGGCACUGCCCGGUAGCUAAAUGCGGAAGAGAUAAGUGCUGAAAGCAUCUAAGCACGAAACUUGCCCCGAGAUGAGUUCUC
This 586-nucleotide ribosomal RNA is filed under the name Salmonella enterica. RNAcentral describes it as "partial 23S ribosomal RNA". It matches the Rfam family "Bacterial large subunit ribosomal RNA", at positions 2228 to 2813 of the family's 2925-position model. Lineage: Bacteria; Pseudomonadati; Pseudomonadota; Gammaproteobacteria; Enterobacterales; Enterobacteriaceae. The record is from RNAcentral.